CACCCUGCGAGCACUCAUUCCUGCAGCUGUAGGCACCAAGCAGGGAGAACCCACAGAGCUUACAGGAACCCCCGUUCCUCUGCCUGCCCCAGCAUGGAAAACUCAGUCGGGAGCAAGCCCUGGGUCUGUGCACUGCUCCUGCCCCAGCUGAAGCAGUACAGCUGUUGCUUUAGUAGAGAAAGGGAUUGGAUUUCACAGGCUGUGUAAUCUGCGACAGAGCUCUUUGGCUUGGGGAGAGCAACAAGCCUCACCCAGGCUUAGCCAUCCCCUUUCUGCCCGUAGAGGAACGCCCCGGUCGACAUAGAAGGAAAAUUGUUUGCUGAAUUUCUGCACAGCCCUCCUUCCAAUUGCUGGAGAGAGAGGGGGGAGUGAGAAAGAGAGAGAGUUUAAGGCAGGCUCUGCACUGGUGUUCUGGGCUAUUUCAACUUCAGGGCAACUUUAGAGAACUUCAGUUAUUUUUGCUGUAACUACCAGUAUGCCUGGAAGGCAUUUCCCUCCAACACUGGACAGAGGAGCAGUGCUGAGCUCCUGCAGGAGCUGAGCUUAGACCCUGCUGGGACCGUGCAGGUGGAGAUCAGGAUAACACCCCUGUGGCAAGAAGGAUCCCUCAGAUGACCUGCAGCAAUGGCAACUCACUAAAUCUACGUGUUCACUAAUGCCUUGUGCUCCGGAUGUUAAGCAAAAAGAUAUACUUGGGAACAGGGGAGCCCAGCAUAUGCUCCGCUGCCACAGCCAACAGCAGUGCCUGCAG
Long non-coding RNA from Gallus gallus (chicken), 751 nucleotides. The record is from Ensembl. NCBI's taxonomy places the organism in Eukaryota, Metazoa, Chordata, Aves, Galliformes, Phasianidae.